CAGUAGCCGCGGGAAUACGGAGGGGGCUAGCGUUAUUCGGAAUUACUGGGCGUAAAGCGCACGUAGGCGGAUCAGAAAGUCAGAGGUGAAAUCCCAGGGCUCAACCUUGGAACUGCCUUUGAAACUCCUGAUCUUGAAGUCGAGAGAGGUGAGUGGAAUUCCGAGUGUAGAGGUGAAAUUCGUAGAUAUUCGGAGGAACACCAGUGGCGAAGGCGGCUCACUGGCUCGAUACUGACGCUGAGGUGCGAAAGCGUGGGGAGCAAACAGGAUUAGAUACCCCAUAGUCCCUGUCUCUUAUACA
RNAcentral lists this ribosomal RNA (301 nucleotides) under uncultured bacterium. RNAcentral describes it as "partial 16S ribosomal RNA". It matches the Rfam family "Bacterial small subunit ribosomal RNA", at positions 509 to 808 of the family's 1533-position model. The record is from RNAcentral.